This 478-nucleotide ribosomal RNA is filed under the name uncultured bacterium. RNAcentral describes it as "partial 16S ribosomal RNA". It matches the Rfam family "Bacterial small subunit ribosomal RNA", at positions 28 to 507 of the family's 1533-position model. The record is from RNAcentral.
GACGAACGCUGGCGGCGUGCUUAACACAUGCAAGUCGAACGGGAUUUAGUAGACAGAAGCCUCGGCUAAAGAUUACUAAUGAGAGUGGCGAACGGGUGAGUAACGCGGGAGCAACCUGCCUAUGACAGUGGGAUAGCCUCGGGAAACCGGGAUUAAUACCGCAUAAAAUCGUAGAAACACAUGUUUCAACGGUCAAAGAUUUAUCGGUCAUAGAUGGGCUCGCGUCUGAUUAGCUAGUUGGUGAGAUAACAGCCCACCAAGGCGACGAUCAGUAGCCGGUCUGAGAGGAUGAACGGCCACAUUGGAACUGAGACACGGUCCAAACUCCUACGGGAGGCAGCAGUGGGGAAUAUUGCACAAUGGGGGAAACCCUGAUGCAGCGACGCCGCGUGAACGAAGAAGGUAUUCGUAUCGUAAAGUUCUGUCCUAUGGGAAGAUAAUGACAGUACCAUAGAAGAAAGCGCCGGCUAAAUACGUG